GUCUAUGGCCAGACCACCCUGAAGGCACCCCAUCUCGUCUGAUCUCAGAAGCUAAGCAGGGUCAGGCCUGGUCAGAACUUGGAUGGCAAAAGCA
Molecule: ribosomal RNA, 94 nt
Filed under: Nomascus leucogenys (northern white-cheeked gibbon)
Lineage: Eukaryota; Metazoa; Chordata; Mammalia; Primates; Hylobatidae
Source: RNAcentral